This 392-nucleotide ribosomal RNA is filed under the name Eocercomonas sp. Its description in RNAcentral is "partial small subunit ribosomal RNA". It matches the Rfam family "Eukaryotic small subunit ribosomal RNA", at positions 587 to 975 of the family's 1831-position model. The record is from RNAcentral. Lineage: Eukaryota; Cercozoa; Cercomonadida; Cercomonadidae.
AGCUCCAGUAGCGUAUAUUAAAGUUGUUGCAGUUAAAAAGCUCGUAGUUGGAUUUCUGGUAUGACAAGAAUGUGGUCACUAUCCGCUAGGACGGUGACCCAGUACUCGUCUACCAUCCUUCUAGAAAGCGCGCCUACCCUUCACUGGGCUGGGCGCGUGCUCUAGAUCUUUUACUUUGAAGAAAUUAGAGUGUUCAAAGCAGGCUUGCGCUAUGAAUACAUUAGCAUGGAAUAAUAAUUUAGGACUUCGGUUUUAUUUUGUUGGUCUAUAAAACAGAAGUAAUGAUUGAUAGGGAUAGUUGGGGGUGCUAGUAUUCCGCGGCCAGAGGUGAAAUUCUUGGAUUCGCGGAAGACUAACUUAUGCGAAAGCAUUCGCCAAGGAUGUCUUCUUUA